AUGAAGUCGGAAUUGCUAGUAAUCGCGGAUCAGCAUGCCGCGGUGAAUACGUUCUCGGGCCUUGUACACACCGCCCGUCACACCAUGGGAGUCGGUAACACCCGAAGUCUGUAGCCUGACGCAAGAGGGCGCAGCCGAAGGUGGGAUUGAUGACUGGGGUGAAGUCGUAACAAGGUAAC
Molecule: ribosomal RNA, 179 nt
Filed under: uncultured bacterium
Lineage: Bacteria
Description: partial 16S ribosomal RNA
Rfam family: Bacterial small subunit ribosomal RNA
Source: RNAcentral